Molecule: long non-coding RNA, 308 nt
Filed under: Mytilus galloprovincialis (Mediterranean mussel)
Lineage: Eukaryota; Metazoa; Mollusca; Bivalvia; Mytilida; Mytilidae
Source: RNAcentral
UGAAAUAUUCUUAUCAAUCUUAGUGAACCAUUACUUGAUUUGAUGAUUUUGGAAACUAUGUAGACUUCUUCCAUUACUUGGUCGGGUAGAACAUCCAUCAGCUUGACAAGUCAUUUGAACACUGAUUAACGGACAUGUCAUGCUGGAUACUAGGACUUUGUGGUAAUUAGAUAUCCGUGGUCAUUAGUUUUCAAGAUGGCGUCUUCCCGAGAAUUGAGAGUCGAUUUUAAAAAUCUAAUAACUCACUUAUCUAGACGAAUAAACCUUUAAUAUUUUGGGAAUAUGCUUAUUUAUUUAGGAUAAACAUA